GGAUCCAGACUUUGAUUCUGGCUCAGGACGAACGCUGGCGGCGCGCCUAACACAUGCAAGUCGAGCGGGAAGCUUUUUAAGGAUUCUUCGGAUGAAUUAAAAAGUGGAGAGCGGCGGACGGGUGAGUAACGCGUGAGAAACCUGCCCNAUACAGGGGGAUAGCCAUUGGAAACGAUGAUUAAUACCCCAUAUGACCACAGUAUCGCAUGAUACAGCGGUGAAAACUCCGGUGGUAUAGGAUGGUCUCGCGUCUGAUUAGCUAGUUGGUGGGGUAACGGCCUACCAAGGCGACGAUCAGUAGCCGGCCUGAGAGGGUGACCGGCCACACUGGAACUGAGACGCGGUCCAGACUCCUACGGGAGGCAGCAGUGGGGAAUAUUGCACAAUGGGCGAAAGCCUGAUGCAGCGACGCCGCGUGAACGAUGAAGGCUUUCGAGUCGUAAAGUUCUGUUCCUGGGGAAGAUAACGACGGUACCCAAGGAGAAAGCACCGGCUAAAUACGUGCCAGCAGCCGCGG
RNAcentral lists this ribosomal RNA (517 nucleotides) under uncultured bacterium. Its description in RNAcentral is "bacterial SSU rRNA". It matches the Rfam family "Bacterial small subunit ribosomal RNA", at positions 1 to 520 of the family's 1533-position model. The record is from RNAcentral.